RNAcentral lists this transfer RNA (72 nucleotides) under Microglena monadina. RNAcentral's name for it is "tRNA-Cys". It matches the Rfam family "tRNA". Rfam says of the family: Transfer RNA (tRNA) molecules are approximately 80 nucleotides in length. The record is from RNAcentral. Lineage: Eukaryota; Viridiplantae; Chlorophyta; Chlorophyceae; Chlamydomonadales; Chlamydomonadaceae.
GGCGGUAUAGCCAAAUGGUAAGGCCAUUGAUUGCAAAUCAUUUAUUCCUCAGUUCAAAUCUGAGUGCCGCCU